This 253-nucleotide ribosomal RNA is filed under the name uncultured bacterium. Its description in RNAcentral is "partial 16S ribosomal RNA". It matches the Rfam family "Bacterial small subunit ribosomal RNA", at positions 524 to 776 of the family's 1533-position model. The record is from RNAcentral.
UACGAAGGGGGCUAGCGUUGUUCGGAAUCACUGGGUGUAAAGGGCGCGUAGGCGGCCGAUCAAGUCGGGGGUGAAAGCCUGUGGCUCAACCACAGAAUUGCCUUCGAUACUGGUUGGCUUGAGACCGGAAGAGGUAAGUGGAACUGCGAGUGUAGAGGUGAAAUUCGUAGAUAUCGGGAGGAACACCAGUGGCGAAGGCGGCGAUCUGGGUCGAUACUGACGCUGAGGUGCGAAAGCGUGGGGAGCAAACAGG